Molecule: ribosomal RNA, 705 nt
Filed under: uncultured Bacillota bacterium
Lineage: Bacteria; Bacillati; Bacillota
Description: bacterial SSU rRNA
Rfam family: Bacterial small subunit ribosomal RNA
Source: RNAcentral
AGUCGAGUGCGCGGUUGUAGCAAUACAACUGGCGCACGGCGCACGGGUGCGUAACACGUGGGCAAUCUGCCCUCCGAUGGGGAAUAACCCCGCGAAAGCGGGGCUAAUUCCGCAUAACAUUCCCUGGACUCUGGUUCGGGGAUUCAAAGCAGCAAUGCGUCGGAGGAGGAGCCCGCGCCCGAUUAGCUAGUUGGUGAGGUAACGGCUCACCAAGGCUGUGAUCGGUAGCUGGUCUGAGAGGAUGGCCAGCCACACUGGAACUGAGACACGGUCCAGACUCCUACGGGAGGCAGCAGUGGGGAAUCUUGCGCAAUGGGCGAAAGCCUGACGCAGCGACGCCGCGUGGGGGAUGAAGCUUCUCGGAGUGUAAACCCCUUUCGACCGGGACGAAUGCCCGCAAGGGAGUGACGGUACCGGUAGAAGAAGCCCCGGCUAACUACGUGCCAGCAGCCGCGGUAAGACGUAGGGGGCCAGCGUUGUUCGGAAUUACUGGGUGUAAAGGGUUCGUAGGCGGUGUGGCAAGUCGGGAGUGAAAUUUCUGGGCUUAACCCAGAGGCUGCUUCCGAAACUGCUGUGCUCGAGUGUGGGAGAGGCGCGUGGAAUUGCAGGUGUAGCGGUGAAAUGCGUAGAUAUCUGCAGGAACACCCGUGGCGAAAGCGGCGCGCUGGACCACUACUGACGCUGAGGAACGAAAGCUAGGGGAGC